UAUCCUACGGGGCGCAGCAGUGAGGAAUAUUGGUCAAUGGGCGGGAGCCUGAACCAGCCAAGUCGCGUGAGGGAAGACGGUCCUAUGGAUUGUAAACCUCUUUAGGCGGGGAGCAAUGCCGGGCACGCGUGCCCGGAGGGAGAGUACCCGCAGAAUAAGCAUCGGCUAACUCCGUGCCAGCAGCCGCGGUAAUACGGAGGAUGCGAGCGUUAUCCGGAUUUAUUGGGUUUAAAGGGUGCGUAGGUUGUUUUAUAAGUUAGCGGUGAAAUACCGAUGCUCAACAUCGGGGCUGCCGCUAAUACUGU
RNAcentral lists this ribosomal RNA (305 nucleotides) under uncultured bacterium. RNAcentral's name for it is "bacterial SSU rRNA". It matches the Rfam family "Bacterial small subunit ribosomal RNA", at positions 335 to 636 of the family's 1533-position model. The record is from RNAcentral.